GUUGCCAGACUGGUUUACACUAUUGGUACAUUUAAUAAGCUGAUAUAGCAGAUAUUGCCACUUGUGAAGUUCGGCCACACUCAACUGUCUGCAAAUUUAAACAAAAAAAAAAGGAAAUUAGCGAGCAAACUUUACAUGAAUAAAUCAAUUCGGUUAAUUUUUGAACAAACGGAACGCGUCAGUUUUGCACGUUUCAAAGCGACAACACGUUUCGUAUAUAAUCAAUUUAAGUAACACGGCUGCGGCUACAGUUUUUUUACAGUUGUUGUUGCUGCCGAUUUGCGAAGCGACAAAGUGCUCGUGUGUGUGUAUGUGCGUCUGUUUGUGCAUAUAUAUAUAUAUGUGUGUGAGUGUGUGUGUGAAGAUAAUUUAGUUAGAGGUCAUUUCUAUGCGUAAGCAUUUGCAACAUGCGGCAGCCAGUUGUUGAUAGUGGGACCGUCGUCUUAAAAAAUAACACGCGCCGCCAUAACAAAGGACGCUCGCAGCUGUACGCCCACGUCCACGUCCACGCCCACUGCAAAGCGCGCAGCAGCAGCACCGCCAGCUUUGUUUUAUAGUACGCGCAGCCAUGCCAACGACAACAGCAAUAAUAGCUAAAGCAGCAACAAAAUCCACAACUGAAGAAGAAGAAGAAAAUUGCGAUACGCUAAUGGCGUCCGCAACAACCACAACAACAACAACAACAAAAGAAGAACAGACACCACCAGCGUCAGCGUCGGCGUCGGCGUCAGCGUCAGCGUUAGCAUCACUGCCGCAGGCAGCUCCUGAUGCAACGCUAACUGCAGCUGCGCGGUCAACGCCAACGCCCACGCUGCUUCCUCUGCUGGCCUCGGCAGCCGCUUGCAAUAAACAGUUGCUAUUCUGCCGGCGUUUUAAGGAUGCGUCCGCUGGCGGCGUCGACGGCGCUGGCUUUUUACGUAACUUCAACUCGUUGCCGCUGUUUGUCUACGCAACGUCGCCGUCGACGCACGCCAGUUCUGCGGAUGGCGUCGGCGUUGCCAAGGAAGCAGCAGCCGCUGCAGCAGCUGCGUCGGCGUUCAGUCAAAAGAAUGACGGCUUUGAACUACCCGCAACGCAUGGCAUCUGCAAAACAGACGGCAGCUGCAUUAGCCAACACAGAAACAGCAACAGCAACAGCAACAGCGGCAACAACGGCAGCAGUAGUGGUGGCCACGCACGCGUCACAGAAUUGGCCAGCGGCGCCAUGGAGUGCCUGCCAUUGAGCGGCGGCGGUGGCGGCGGCGUUGUCACACAUCAUCCGCAUCUGAUGGCAGCGAGCGCUGCUGGAGGCACUGUUGUUGCUUCACCAACGGCAACGGUGGUUGUGGGUGCCACAUAUCCGCACCAUUUGCACCACCAUCAUCAUUUGAGCCACCAUGCGCCGUACAGUAAUAGCUAUGGCAGUCAUCCGCAUCAUCCCAUACACAGCGAACAGACCAAGUCGCUGCAGGAGCUGCAGCAUGAGGUGGGCGCUCUGUUGGAAUUCCGAGAUCUGGUCAUCGAAACGUUUCCCGAUCUCAAACAUAAAAUGGCCUCCAUGUCCGCCACACCAUCUACGCCCAGCUCCGUGGGCGCCCUAGGCGGCAGUCACUCGGUGGGCGGCGGCAGCGGCGGUGGAGGCAGCUCCUCGUUAGCAGCCAGACGCGAAUGGGAGCCCGGAAUACGCAUGAAGCGCAAACUGUCGCACAAGGAACCGUCCACGACAACGGCCGCUGCAGCCGCAUCCGCUGGAGCUGAGCCGUCGUCCUCGUCGCUAACGCGCAGCCGCAGUAACUCGCACAGCGGCAAGAAAGAGCCAAAGAGCGGAGAGAACAACAACGGCAGCGUUGUACAGGACUCCGGCUUCUCAACGGAGACCAGUUCCUCCAAGGAGGGCCACAGUGCCUCCUCCACCAAUGGUGCUAUAACGGUGGCCAUAGCAUCGAACCGUCUGAGCUGCGCCGAGUCGGAUGAUGAGCUGCUUAACCUGCUGGAUGUCAUACACCGCAAGUCGAAUCGCUUACGCGAGGAGGUCGAACAGCUGCAAAGCUAUGAGCGACAACAGGGGGAUGCGGCGAAGGGCCACAAAAAUGGUAGUGGCAUGACGCCGCAACAGUUCCGAGAGCAGGUGGAGCGAAUCAAUCGCGAGGAUAUCAAACAGUUGCGCAAGGAGCGCGAUCGUCUGCUGGACAAGCUGGCCGAAAUGGAGGCGGAGACUUUAACGGGCCGCAUUAAGGCGGCCAAGAUGAACGAUCAAGUCGAGGAGUUGAUCAGCGUCAAAAAGGAUCUCGAAGAGCAGCUAAAACUGGCCAUGGCUCAAAAGCUGGAGCUGAGCUCGCGUGUGCAACAGCUACAGCUGCAGCAGCAGCAACAACAACAACAACAACAACAACAGCAGCAGCAGAGCAAAAGCUCAUCCAGCGCCAGCCAGUCAGAGCUUUCCAGUCAACGUAACUUUUUAUCCUCCGCGACGACGGUGCUCUCAAACAGCAGUCGCCCCAGUCUUAGCAGCAACAACACAUUCCAGCCGGUUGUGCUUGAUCAGCAGCAGCAGCAGCAAGCGCCGGAGGCAUUCCAUCAAAGCUCAGGCAGUGAUACAGCAAUAGCGGCAGCAAGAAGGCAACAACAGCAGCUGGGACGUUUGGAUGGCGUUGUGAGCACGCCUGGCGCCCGGAAUACCAAAUGCCGAAUUACAGACUCCAAGCGCUUCUCGGCCAUUUUGCUGGAGACGAAUGUGCUAGAGCUGCAGCGACAUCUGCUCACGCUAACUGUGCAAAACCAGGUGCUGGCCCAGAAGCUGGACUCGUCCAGCAAAUCAAAGUCGCUGCUGACCAAGCGGCUGGACAAAAGCGUAGAAGAUACGGAGGAGCUGCGCUUUCAGUUAGAGGAGAAGAACAUCGAACUGGAGGGCACCAAGGCGCAGUUGCGCGUCCUGGAAUCUCGGCUACAUGGCAGCAGCAGCACCAAUUCGUAUCUGAACUCCUCAUCGCAGCAUGACUACGAGACGAAUCGCUCGUCGGCUUCCACCACGCUGAUGCUCAGUCGUCGUGGCGUGCCCGACUCGGUGGAUUCGGCAUCAACAUCGGUAUCGGCGGCCUUGCCACGUUCCGAUCAAAUAAGCACGCCCAGCAUGAAGGCCAUGGUGCCGCUGGCCAUGGAAGAGCUGCAGCAGCACAGCAGCAGCACCGAGUCCGCGCACGAGCACGAACCGGAACGCACGCCCAAUGAUUCCACGCAGAGCAAGACGAUGGUCAACAUCAGUCCCAGUCCGCUGGGCAGCAGCACGCCCACAGCGGCCGCCGGCAGCAGCAGCAUUGCGGCACGCGUCAUGAGCUCCAGUGUGGGCGGCGUCAGUCCCUUUGAGCAGACGCCGUUGCGCAGUCACGCUUUUCGCAAGUUCAACAGCGCCAGUAAGCCGAGCAAGAUACCGCUGCCGGGCAGCAAAGCGGCCGCCUACUUUGCGGGCAAGCCGCCAACGGGCCGACCCUCGACGGCGGGUCGUUCGCCGCCAUCGGUGCAUAACUCCAGUAGCGUCUCCUAUGGCAGCAGCAGCAAAUCCUCGUUAAGCCGCAGCACCGGCAAUCUCAGCCAGAGCUUAAAGCGCGGCGAUUCAGCAUCCAAUCAUUCGCUGAGCACGAACACCAGUCGCAGCUCGACAUCCUCGUCCAUACCGCUGGCCACCACACCAUACUCAUCCAGCUCGGCUGGUGGCAAUCGUAGCAGCCACACGGCCACAACGACUCCGUCCCCGCGCGUGCUCCAAAACUCGCCAUUGCCCAAGCUGAAGCGCGAGACGCUCAGCUCACGUGUGCGGCACCUCGACUCACUUUCGCGCGCCCAACAGUCGCCCGAGCAGCAGCAGCAGCACCAGCAGCAGCUCAACAACAGCAACAACAACAGCAGCGGCAGCGCCUCGCACAAAAGUGCCCAUCUGAGCACCAGCGGCAGCUCCAGCUCCAUUGCGGCACAGUUGAGCACAACGCUGCGCAAGGAUCUGCAGUUGAAUGCCACAACGGGGCCAUCCUAUCAGCGACGCGCUGCUGCCGUUGGCAGCGGUGGUCCAACGGUGGUACGUCGCUUUAGCAGCGCCUCGGCGGGCAGUGCGAGGCUGGCGCGUGAGCGUGAGCGUGAGCAGAGCAAUGAUCCAAUGGCCACGCCCACGUCCAGUUAUGGCGACAGUGAUAGUGGCAAGCCUAUUGAAAACUGUAACUAAAACCAAUUGUGAAACAAACAAAAAACUCUUCCUAACUGCAACAUGCUUAACCGGAUACGUUGGAUAAUCAUGUAAAUUUAUGAGAUAUAUAUACAUAUGGACUAUGGUGGUGUAUUGAUUGAUUGAUUGAUUGACGUUGGUGGUGAAAAUUUAAGCUGCAUGCUGCAAAUGAAAAUGCUAACAUAAAAGCAACAUUCCAAACGCGUGCGUCACUCGGGAGAUUAUUUUGGUAACGGACAGCGAACAGACGAUGCCAGUGUCAGGAUUCACGUGCUCAGCUCUAAGCCUCAAGCUCAGCUCGGCUCAGCUACAGCCUCAAACACAAGCGUGGAGAGCUAACUGAGCUAGUUCUGUUGUAAAUCGUUUGUCUGUUUUUCUUAUAGACAAAGAACUAAGACACUUUGCCGCAAAUUUGUUAUACGCAAUUUGGCAAAUUUCAUUCGUAAGCCAAAUUUCCGUUUCAAUAACAACAAUUGGCAAUUAUGGCAAACGAGCAACAACAACAACAAUA
This 4703-nucleotide unclassified non-coding RNA is filed under the name Drosophila virilis. RNAcentral describes it as "GJ24251". The record is from RNAcentral. Lineage: Eukaryota; Metazoa; Arthropoda; Insecta; Diptera; Drosophilidae.